Molecule: ribosomal RNA, 642 nt
Filed under: Lecidella enteroleucella
Lineage: Eukaryota; Fungi; Ascomycota; Lecanoromycetes; Lecanorales; Lecanoraceae
Description: SSU rRNA
Rfam family: Bacterial small subunit ribosomal RNA
Source: RNAcentral
AUUCUAGGUAGAAUUAUGAUAAUGACAUUAUUUGCCUAUAUGUCUUGACCAAAUUACGUGCCAGCAGUCGCGGUAAUACGUAGAAGACUAGUGUUAUUCAUCUUUAAUAGGUUUAAAGGGUACCUAGACGGUAAAUCAAGCCUGCGAGGGGACUAAUUUACUAGAGUUACUUGUGAGGGGGUAUUAAAGUACUAAUGGUGUAGAGAUGAAAUUCUGUCAUACCUCUUUUCGUAAGAAAAAUUACGGCACAGGUAUAGGCGAAAGCAUCCCCUUAUGUGAUAACUGACGUUGAAGGACGAAGGCUUUGUGUCGCGAACAGGAUUAGAUACCCCAGUAGUCAAAGCAGAAAAUGAUGAAUGUCAUAGAUUAGACAUAUAAUAGUUUAUUCUAUAAAUGAAAGUGUAAGCAUUCCACCUCAAGAGUAAUUUGGCAACAUUGGAACUGAAAUCAUUAGACCGUUUCUGAAACCAGUAGUGAAGUAUGUUGUUUAAUUUGAUAAUCCGCAAAAAACCUUACCACAACUUGAAUAUUUAUAUUUUAUAUUUUAUAGAUAAAAUAGAUCUAUAUGAGUAAAAAUAUAUUUACAAGCGUUGCACGGCUGUCUUCAGUUAAUGUCGUGAGAUUUUGGUUAGUUCCUAUUAA